Molecule: ribosomal RNA, 500 nt
Filed under: uncultured cyanobacterium
Lineage: Bacteria; Bacillati; Cyanobacteriota
Description: bacterial SSU rRNA
Rfam family: Bacterial small subunit ribosomal RNA
Source: RNAcentral
GGUGAAUUUUCCGCAAUGGGCGAAAGCCUGACGGAGCAAUACUGCGUGAGGGAGGAAGGCUCUUGGGUCGUAAACCUCUUUUCUCAGGGAAGAACACAAUGACGGUACCUGAGGAAUAAGCAUCGGCUAACUCCGUGCCAGCAGCCGCGGUAAUACGGAGGAUGCAAGCGUUAUCCGGAAUGAUUGGGCGUAAAGCGUCCGCAGGUGGCUGUGUAAGUCUGCUGUUAAAGAGUCUAGCUCAACUAGAUAAGAGCAGUGGAAACUACACGGCUAGAGUACGUUCGGGGCAGAGGGAAUUCCUGGUGUAGCGGUGAAAUGCGUAGAGAUCAGGAAGAACACCGGUGGCGAAGGCGCUCUGCUAGGCCGUAACUGACACUGAGGGACGAAAGCUAGGGGAGCGAAUGGGAUUAGAUACCCCAGUAGUCCUAGCCGUAAACGAUGGAUACUAGGCGUGGCUUGUAUCGACCCGAGCCGUGCCGUAGCUAACGCGUUAAGUAUCC